GUGUGUGUGUAUAAUCCAAUGUGUAUUUAUAAUUCUUUACACUGGUGAAUCACGUGUGUUAUGAACACACAUCAUCUAAAAAGAGGAGGAGUUCUUUAUAUCAAUGGAACACAAUAGCGAUCAGAUAUUCACAUUCAGAUCUGUCAGAAUGUAUUAAGAAUAAAUAGAUGUGUUAUUGUUUGGAUUCUCACAGUUCUGUGGUACACUCCAUGAAAUAUUUUUUACAAAUAAGUGAGAUAGUUGAAUAUUUGCUGAGUUGAAUAUAUGCUGAGUCAGCUUCUCCUGAAACAACAGUUCAUAUUCUGUUCUGUUAAUCUGUUCCACGGCAAUAUAUUUCUUAUCUACAUCUUUCAACUUGAAGAAUAUGGGCAAUAGCUGUCUUAGAAAUUUUUGUGGCUCUUGUGUCACUCAAAAUCAUAACAACUUGUCAUUGAAUGAUUUUAAAAAAAGUGAGGAAUGGAAUAUUACCUGGUAUUAUGUUCCAUUUUCAAAAGAAUGUCAAAACAAGAAUUGCACACAAAUUUUUCAUAUUUCUACACGUACCAAAAAUUUUAAUACCAGUAAUAAUUGAUCUGCUGACAAUAAUAUAAUAAUAUCAAUUAUAAUGAUGUUCAUGAAGUAGGUAGAGUGAUCAUAUUAAUUACCCUAGUACCACAAACAACAACAAUAACAAUAAUAAUAAUAAUAAUAAUAAUAAUGGUGCUAAUAAAGAUUGUAAUAGUAUUGAUGAUCAUCAUAAUGACUAUGAUAAUAAUAAUAAUAAUAAUAAUAAUAAUAAUAAUAAUAAUAAUAAUAAUAAUAAUGAUAAUAAUAAUAAUGAUUAGGUGUAUGGAAAACACUUGGCGAGAAACGGAAGAAAAUUUGAAGAAAGAAGGAAAAAACAU
This is a long non-coding RNA of Octopus sinensis (East Asian common octopus), 884 nucleotides long. RefSeq lists it as uncharacterized. The transcript is spliced from 3 exons. Lineage: Eukaryota; Metazoa; Mollusca; Cephalopoda; Octopoda; Octopodidae. The record is from RefSeq and is a predicted model, not a curated record.